This 16923-nucleotide long non-coding RNA is filed under the name Podarcis lilfordi (Lilford's wall lizard). Lineage: Eukaryota; Metazoa; Chordata; Lepidosauria; Squamata; Lacertidae. The record is from RNAcentral.
GUUCAAAGUCCUCUGGAGAGCUCACCAUCAUGUCUUCAUUUCUCUUUCUCUUUGCUCUUUUUAUUUACUGCUCAGGUAAAGCUGUGGAGAAGAUCUCAUGUUCCAUUGGCCAACCAAAAGCUAACUGCAUUUAUCAUUUUUAUUUAUUUGAGAGCACUAAAAAUGUCCCCUUUCUCCAUAUUUUUUUAAACAGGGGUCACCUGCCAGUCAAUUUGCACUCAGCCUGCCUCUGAGUCUGUGUCGCCGGGUCAAACCAUUAAACUCUCCUGUACUACUAGUAAUACUGGCGCCUACAUUGGCUGGUAUCAACAGAGAUCAGGGCAGGCCCCUCGCUUUGUGCACUGUGAAACUGGCAGCAGGGGAGAAGGGAUCCCGGAUCGAUUCACGGCUUCUCGCUCUGGGAACAUUGGCUAUUUAACCAUCACCAACGUCCAGGCUGGAGAUGAGGCCGUUUAUUACUGUGGCAGAUGGUAUAGCAGUGCUAGUGCGUUCCACAGUGAUGCAAACUGAUGGGGAACUGAGACAAAAACCUUUCCUCUCCCACCAAAGAGCAGUGAGAUGUGAAUACCAAAAACAAACAUCAUCUAAUCUGUGUCUACAUCUGUUGUCAAGUCCAUCCUACUCUGGAUGGAACCAGAAGAGACAGAAAACUCUGAAUUCCCACCUCCUUCCUCACAGCAGGACCUUGGAGCUGCCAGCCCAGCACACCCUCAAGUCAGCCCUUCCCAGUGGAUGAAAGAUCUGCUUUGGGAAAGUCAGGCUGUAGAUUUCAUAUCUUUGCAAAAUAGGAGUCUGUUUUAGGAAUUGUGAGCUAUAGCAUAAAUGUCACCUGUGGAUUGCUAGGUUGGUCUUCACUGAGCAUAUUAUAAUAUCAUUAUUAUUUACUAAGCAUUAUCAUUAUGAUUACUAUUAUUACAGGCUCAGGUUGUAUAUAAAGGUAAAGGAACCCCUGACCAUUAGGUCUAGUUGUGGCCGACUCUGGGGUUGCGGCACUCAUCUCGCUUUAUUGGACGAGGAAGCCGGCGUACAGCUUCCGGGUCAUGUGGCCAGCAUGACUGAGCCGCUUCUGGUGAACCAGAGCAGCACACGGAAACGCCGUUUACCUUCCUGCCGGAGUGGGACUAUUUAUUUGCUUGCACUGAGUGCUUUCAAACUGCUAGGUUGGGAGGAGCAGGGACUGAGCAACAGGAGCUCACUCCGUUGCUGGGAUUCGAACCGCCGACCUCCUGAUCGGCAAGUCCUAGGCACUGUGGUUUAACGCACAGCGCCACCCGCAUUCCUUCAGGUUGUAUAUAUGUGUAUAUAAAAUACAUAUCAUAAAGACACCACAAUCUCCAAUGGGCCUCAUUACGAAUGGAAAGACGAACCCUGGGAACCACUUGGAACCACUGGAACCUCCCACCACUUGGAGAUUGAGGUGGCUUGCAAAAAUAGGCUUUGUGCCUGCAGUUGCUGUCAAGUCUAGCUUCUUCCGCAUAGAACUUAUAAGAGAAAAAUAGCAAAUUUGAAGUCCCCCCUGCAGUACUGCUGGUACUGCAGCUACAAGGACUUUUAUGCUUUUUCCAUGAUUCUAGACAUGAGUCUGCCUGGUUUUGCCUUUGCCCUGCUCCUUUCCCCUGGAAAACCUGCUCUUCACCCCUCAAUUGGAACAACCAGCAAUCCGUGGAAAGUCCGACUACCAUAUGCUGCCAUUCAGCAGUAAAUUGCAGGUUUUCCCUGGGGAAAUAAGCAGGGGAAACGGAGCGGUGCCCUUCCAUUUUGAUCAAAGUUGUCGUUUUGGAAAGGCUUGUGAGUUUAUAUCUAUUUAGAUCCUUUUUAGGAGAUGUGAAAUAUUACAGACAGGCAUGCCAAUUGUGGAGUGGGCUGCCUAAAAUAUAUUGUCAAGGAGGGGCCAGGCCCCACAAAGAACCCCAGCGGAUGUGCGCACCCACCGCGGGGCAUGCUUGCGUCACUUUUGCAAGCUGCAGGGCAUGUGCACAACAUAUCAGCACACGCCAUGACAUUCGUAGGUGACGUCAGAACUGAGUUUGUGCAGCCCUGGGCCUGUCAGUUGCAGGGACAAGGGGGUGCCCUUGAUGGCAGAGAUGCUAUUUUCCAAAGCAUACUUUCCCGGACAGUAGGAAGCUGCUGUCACCAUCCCUACCGCUUGGGAAUUUCCCUUGGAUCUUGUCCCUGCUGAAGGUCACGUGCCUUUUGUUCACAAUCUCUGCUCCUUAGAAGUAGGCUGCAGAGAGCGUCUCAUUGGAAAUGUUCUCUAUCCCAAUGUGUUCUGCAAUACAGUAAUGUGAGCCUUAAUACAGCAGGUGAGGGGAAACGGUGGCCUUUUAGAAACGCUUGGACUCCCAUCAGCCCCAGUCAGCAUGGCGAAUGGCCACACACAUUUGGGCCUUUCUCCAAGGUGUUGCUAAACUCUGAAGCUGCCUCUUGCUUGUCUGGAGGGACGAUAGAAAGAGAUGUGUGAAGACACUUCCGCAGUAGACAGAAGUAAAAUUUAGAACUAUAGCUCCACCCACUUGUUCCUCUGGUCUCUCCUACCAUUGGCAGGUGCCCUGCUCAGUCCAUGGCUUUAACCAGCCUCUUCCCCCCCUCUCCCAGACCUGAACAGAGUCUGAAACUAGCAUUUUUUUCUCACCAAUAGCUUAGAAACCUUUACCUUUUGUAACUAAGCAACAUUUUUCAUAUUUCCUGACUGGUGAUUUACUGCUGGCUCACUCCCGUCACUAACCCAUUCCUAUUUUACUUUUUUAAAAAGAAAGAAAGAAAAUCUGUCCUAUUCUCCUCUGUUUGAAUGUCCCACAAUGCUUUAAAGGAACCUGAAAUUCUAGGAGUGGCGUUUGGUUAUCCACAGAACACAUUUGCAUGAAGGGGAAAGCCUUCAGCACUGGGAAAUUUAAGAGAGGAGAGGGCAAGAUCCACUCAGAAAGGCAAACUCCCCUGGAGAGCUCACCAUGGCCCUCCCUCAAUUCAUACUUGCUAUUUUCGUUUACUGUUCAGGUAAGGCUGUGGAGGUGAUCUCUUGUUCAAGAGGCCAAGCCAAAGAUAUUUGAAUCUAUCCCAGAAACAUAGUGCUUUGUGGGUGUUUGUGAAUGCUGAAAAUGAAACGAGGUCCUCAUCUUUGUUUUUUCUGUUGUUGCUUCCUCCUACAAAGGUGUCUCUUCACAGUCAGAUCCGACUCAGCCUGCCUCUGAGUCUGUGACCCUGGGACAAACGGUCAAACUCUCCUGUACUUCCAGUAACCGUGGCAGCAACUACAUUCAUUGGUAUCAACAGAGAUCAGGAAAGGCCCCUCGCUUUGUGCAGUAUGAUGGUAGCAGCAGGGGAGAAGGGAUCCCGGAUCGAUUCACCGCUUCUCGCUCAGGGAACAUUGGCUAUUUAACCAUCACCAAGGUCCAGGCUGGAGAUGAGGCUGUUUAUUACUGUGGCAGAUGGUACGGUCUCACAUCCCACAGUAAUACAAACUGAUGGGGAAGUGUGACAAAAACCUUUCUUCUUCCACCAAAGAGCAGUGAGAUGUGAAUGCUUAAAAAGAACUUCCUAUGCUUUGUGCUUGCAGCUGUUGUCAAGUCAUGAGUAGAUUUGCUUUACUGGCCAUGAUCGGCCAUACAGACAGCUUAAUCAACACAGAUCCCACCACUGCAGGGCACAAACAGAGAGUGAACAGACCCCAAACAAGUUCUUGGUAGAUCAGGACAGACGCUCCAAGUGUCUCUAUUUUGAAGGGACAGUCCUGGAUUUACAGAAGCCGUCCUGGUUUCUGAUUUGAUCCCAGAAAGUCCUGCUUUUCCUCAGGACAUCCCUAUGUCCAUAGUAGAAAUGUUGGAGGGUGUGGAGUUAUUUCACCCCCGAGCCAUCUGAAGACAGCCUUGUAUAGGGUGUGGAGUUAUCCGACUCCCAAAACAUCAAAAGGCAGCCAUGUAUGGGAAAGUUUUUAAUGCUUAGCGUUUUAUUAUGCUUUUAUAUAUGUUGGAAGACAGCCAGAGUUGCAACGCAGUCAAAUGGACAGGGUAUAAAUGGUAGAAUUAUUAUUAUGGGAUAGGACUUCUCUGUUUUCAUUGGUGAAAUAUUGGAGGGUAUGUUGACAAACAUCAGCUCCACAGUCACAUUCCCCACCUGGCAACUUUCCAUGGGUCUCAUGUCACUGGUGGGCGAGGCCAGAGGCAAAGGUGCGAUGAAUGGAUAUUUUACCUCUCUACUGUAGGCUCCCUGAUCCUCAGGUCUGCCCUGAUACAGCACCGAGUAUCCAGUUUGGCCCAGCUGGGUGAGACCAACUGCACUCUGCUCUCAGAGGUGGUUCAACUGGUUCAGUCGAAUUGGGCAUUGUGCUACAGGGGGUCCCACACCAAUGCUGUGGAACGGAGCAUGAGGGGGAGGGGCAUGCACCAAAUUUUAGCAUUGCACAGGGCGCUGCUGAAAUCUGGGAGCCCAAAGACCGCCAUUUCUGCUCUCCCACGCAGGUCUCAGGGAUAUUGUUCUUGUCACUGUUGCAGGCUGCGUGUCUUUUCAUCCUAAUCUCUGCUCCUCAUAUGUCAGAAGGUGGCAGCAGAGACUGUGCCGUUUGAAAUAACAAGAAUGAAUGCUUUCUUCACCAAGUUCAUGCAAUAGUUUAAAGCUCAAUAGUGUUGUACAGCGGGGGUAGGGAAACUCUGGCCUUUCAGAAGUUGCUGGACUCCAACUUCCAUCAGCCCCGGCCAGCAAGAGCAAUAGAAGGAUGCAAAGAGCAGGCGGACCAAUCGGCCCCUUUCUGUGCAGGAGGACGUAGAGUAGGCUGGCCAGAGUGCGCAGCUUGGUUUGUGCAGCCCUGAGGAGUGGGUGUUCUUCCUCUCUUUUGAACUUCUCAAUCAUUUGUUUCACUGAUUCAUUUCAUAAUAUUUCUACACCACUUGAUUGUAUUAAAAAGAAAUCCAAUAAGGUUACGAAGAGAUAAGAAAAGAAAAUGAAGAAAAAUUCACAAACUUACUUUAAACAUAAGAAGCUAAAAUACAAAAAGAGACUGCACUUUCUAAGACGUUUUAAGAAUUUUGAGCUCUUUCCUAUCCUACACAGUCCUCUGUGCAUCCUGCCCAUAUUAGGAAUAUUCCCAAGUGAGAUGUUCCACACUAUAAAAAGCAGUGUUCCCAGGACCCUUCCUGAUAGAUGUCUUACUGCAAAGAGUUCCUUCAUGGCUGUCUCAUCACAAUCUGGCUGAACUAAGGGCCAGUCCUACUGCUUUGAGAAAUCUCCUUUAUAUAAAUCUGCCAUUGCCCCCUUUGAUUAAAUGUCCCAUAAUGCUCUGCAGGAUCUCCCAAUCCCAAUCGAGGCAAUCGAUGAUCACAGAAGAUAUUUGCAUGAAGGGGCAGCUCUUCAGCUCUGGGAGAUUUAAGAGAGGAGUGCGGAAGUUUCCUUCAGAAGUUCAAACUCCUCUGGAGAGCUCACCAUCAUGUCUUCAUUUCUCUUUCUCCUUGUUCUUUUUCUUUACUGCUCAGGUAAAGCUGUGGAGAAGAUCUCAUAUUCCCUUGGCCAACAGAAAGCUAAUAGCAUUUAUCAUAUUUUUUUUAUUUGAGAACAGUGAAAAUGUUAUUUUUUCUCAUUUUUUUUAAAACAGGUGUCAACUGCCAAUCAAUUUGCACUCAGCCUGCCUCUGAGUCUGUGGUGCCGGGUCAAACCAUUAAACUCUCCUGUACAACUAGUGAUACUGGCGACGCUGUUCGCUGGUAUCAACAGAGAUCAGGGCAGGUCCCUCGAUUUGUGCAGUAUGAGGGUAGCAGCAGGGGAGAAGGGAUCCCAGAUCGAUUCACAGCUUCUCGCUCUGGGAACAUUGGCUAUUUAACCAUCACCAACGUCCAGGCUGGAGAUGAGGCCGUUUAUUACUGUUGCAGAUGGUAUAGCAGUGCUAGUGGGUUCCACAGUGAUGCAAACUGAUGGGGAACUGAGACAAAAACCUUUCCUCUUCCACCAAAGGGCAGUGAGAUGUGAAUACUGAAAACCAACUUCAUGUAAUCUGUGUCUACAUCUGUUGUCAAGUCCAUCCUACUCUGGAUGGAACCAGAAGAGACAGAAAACUCUGAAGUCUCACCUCCUUUCUCACAGCAGGACCUUGGAGCUGCCAGCCCAGCACACCCUCAAGUCAGCCCUUCCUUGUGGAUGAAACAGCUGCUUUGGGAAAGUCAGGCUGCGGACUUCCUUUUCAUUGCAAAAUAGGAGUCUGAUUUAGGAAUGUUGAGUUAUAGCAGAAAUGCCACCUGCUGACUGCUAGGUCAGUCUUCAUUGAGCAUAUUAUAAUAAUAUUAUUAUUAUUGACUGAACAUUAUUAUUAUUAUUAUUAUUAUUAUUAUUAUUAUUAUUAUUACAGGCUCAGGUUGUAUAUAUGCGUAAAUAAACCAUAUAUCAUAAAGACACCACAAUCUCCAAUGCGCCUUAUUCCCAAAGGAAAGACGAACCCAGGGAAACGCCUGGAAACCCUGGAACCUCCCACCACUUGGAGAUUGGGGUGGCGUGCAGAAGUAGGCUUUGCACCUGCAGUUGCUGUCAAGCCAAACUUCCUCUGCCUCAAACUUGUAAGAGAAAAGAACACAUCUGAAGUCCCUCCUCCUCCUCCUGCAGAGCAGGACCCUGGACCUCAUUCCUAUCCACACCCGGAGUGCCAGGCUUCCGCAGAUUCCUAGGUCUUGUCCACAUCUCUGCUUAUCCCAUUCCUGGAAACCACAAAUAAAAGCUGUUUUAUGCUUUGCUCCUGCUUUCUAGACAGGAGUCUGGCUGGUUUUGCCUUUGCCCUGCUGCUUUCCCCUGGAAAACCUGCUCUUCAACCCUAAAUCGGAAAAACCAGCAAUCUGCGAAAAAUCUGAUUGCUGUUUGGUGCCAUUCAGAAGUAAAUCUGAUUGCCAGACCUUCCAAGUGUCCCUAUUUUGCAGGGUCAGUCCAGAAUCUACAAAAGCUGUCCUGGUUUCUGAUUUGAUCCCAGAAAGUCCCACUUUUCCUUAGAUCGUCCGAAUUUCAAUCUUAGAAAUGUUGGCGGGUAUGGAGUUAUUGAACCCAGAAGCCAUUUGAAGACAGCCCUGUAGAGCCAUGUUUUUAAUGUUUAAUGUUUUAUUAUGCUUUUAUAUAUCUUGGAUGCCACCCGGAGUGGCACCCCAGUCAGAUGGGCAGGGUAUAAAGAGUUAAAUUAUUAUUAUGGGAUAGGAGGUCCCGAUUUUCAUUGGAGAAAUGUUGGUGUGUACGUUGACAGGCAUCUGCCCGAGAGUCAUAUUUCCCCACCUGGUAACUUUCCAUGGGUCCCAUGUCACAGGUGGGUGGGGCCAGAGUCAAAGGUGCCAUGAACGGAUAUUUUACCUCUCUACUGUAGGCUGGUUCCCCCAACACUCACUAUCCCCCAUCCAUGAAAUGAGAGGCAUCAGUGGAAUGCUAGGGCACAUCCUUGCCAGGCAGAAACCCUUGGGGUGCAAACAGAGCCAGUGGAAGGUGUGGCUAGAGGAGAGUGGGUGUGGCCUAGAGCAGUGGCAGAGUGUGUGGGGGGGAAUGGGGUGCUUGCCCCAGACACAAAAUUGUAAGGGGCACAAAAAUUUGUACACUUGGUGCUACCUCAAUAUAACUGCACACUUCUGUAAUGUGCUCCCUUGAAAAAAGGUUCUCCAUGUGAAGUUGACCUCUCCAAACAAUGGAGCGACUCUUAUUUUCUUGUCUCUUUGACUGCAAUGUCCUGGGUGAUGCGGAGGCUGUUAGGCAGUUGAAUGUACAUGCGUACUUUAUCCGUUUCCCUUCCACCCCCUCUGCACUUGGCCCCGGGUGCUGCAACCCACGCUACACCACUGGCCUAGAGGGCCAGACAGAGACACAUUGCUCUUUCACCAUCUCUGCUCCUCAUAUGUCAGAAGGUAGCAGCAGAGACUGUGCCUUUUGAAAUACGAAGAAUGAAUGUUUUCUUCACCAAGUUUAUGCAACAAUUCAAAGCUUAAUAGUUUUGUACAGCAGAGGUAUGGAAACCCUGGCUGUCCUAGGUUGUCCAUGUUCAAAAAAGAUAAUGCAAAACAAGAAAAACUCACAAUGUUACUUUAAACCCAAAGGGUGCUCAUCAAUGGUUCCUCUUCAUCCUGGAGAAGAGUGACUAGUGGGGUGCCACAGGGUUCUGUCUUGGGCCCGGUCUUACUCAACAUCUUUAUCAACGACUUGGAUGAUGGACUCAAGGGCAUCCUGAUCAAAUUUGCAGAUGACACCAAAUUGGGAGGGGUGGCUAACACCCCAGAGGACAGGAUCACACUUCAAAACGGCCUUGACAGAUUAGAGAACUGGGCCAAAACAAACAAGAUGAAUUUUAACAGGGAGAAAUGUAAAGUAUUGCAGUUGGGCAAAAAAAAUGAGAGGCACAAAUACAAGAUGGGUGACACCUGGCUUGAGAGCAGUACAUGUGAAAAGGAUCUAGGAGUCUUGGUUGACCACAAACUUCACAUGAGCCAACAGUGUGACGCGGCAGCUAAAAAGCCAAUGCAAUUCUGGGCUGCAUCAAUAGGAGUAUAGCAUCUAGAUCAAGGGAAGUAAUAGUGCCACUGUAUUCUGCUCUGGUCAGACCUCACCUGGAGUACUGUGUCCAGUUCUGGGCACCACAGUUCAAGAAGGACACUGACAAACUGGAACGUGUCCAGAGGAGGGCAACCAAAAUGGUCAAAGGCCUGGAAACGAUGCCUUAUGAGGAACGGCUAAGGGAGCUGGGCAUGUUUAGCCUGGAGAAGAGGAGUUUAAGGGGUGAUAUGAUAGCCAUGUUCAAAUAUAUAAAUGGAUGUCACAUAGAGGAGGGAGAAAGGUUGUUUUCUGCUGCUCCAGAGAAGCGGACACGGAGCAAUGGAUCCAAACUAGAAGAAAGAAGAUUCCACCUAAACAUUAGGAAGAACUUCCUGACAGUAAGAGCUGUUCGACAGUGGAAUUUGCUGCCAAGGAGUGUGGUGGAGUCUCCUUCUUUGGAGGUCUUUAAGCAGAGGCUUGACAACCAUAUGUCAGGAGUGCUCUGAUGGUGUUUCCUGCUUGGCAGAGGGUUGGACUCGAUGGCCCUUGUGGUCUCUUCCAACUCUAUGAUUCUAUGAUUCUAUGAAACUUUAAAAAGUUAAGAUACAAAGAAAGACUGAACUUUCUAAGACGUUUUAAGAAUUAUGAGCUCUUUUCAUUCCUACACAGUCCUCUAUCUAUAAAGCCCCAGCUAGGAAUGUUCCCAAGUGAGAUGUUCAACUCUAUAAAAAGCAGUGUUCCCAGGAGCCUUCCUGAUAGAUGUCUUACUGCAAAGAGUUCCUUCAUGGCUGUCUCAUCACAUCCUGGCUGAACUAAGGGCCACUCCUGCUGCUUUGAAUAAUCUCCUUUAUGCAAAUCGGCCCUUGGGCUCUUUGAUGGAAUGUCCCAUAAUGCUCUACAGGAUCUCCAAAUACCAACAGAGGCAAUCGAUGAUAGUGGAAGAUAUUUGCAUGAAGGGGCAGCUCUUCAGCUCUGGGGGAUUUAAGAGAGGAGUGAGGAAGUUUCCUCCAGAAGUUCAAACUCCUCUGGAGAGCUCACCAUCAUGUCUUCAUUUCUCUUUCUCCUUGCUCUUUUUAUUUACUGCUCAGGUAAAGCUGUGGAGAAGAUCUCAUGUUCCAUUGGCCAACCAAAAGCUAACUGCAUUUAUCAUUUUUAUUUAUUUGAGAGCACUAAAAAUGUUCCCCUUUCUCCAUAUUUUUUUAAACAGGAGUCACCUGCCAGACAAUUUGCACUCAGCCUGCCUCUGAGUCUGUGGCGCCGGGUCAAACCAUUAAACUCUCCUGUACAACUAGUGAUACUGACUCCUACAUUGGCUGGUAUCAACAGAGAUCAGGGCAGGCCCCUCGAUUUGUGCAGUAUGAAGGUAGCAGCAGGGGAGAAGGGAUCCCGGAUCGAUUCACGGCUUCUCGCUCUGGGAACAUUGGCUAUUUAACCAUCACCAACGUCCAGGCUGGAGAUGAGGCUGUUUAUUACUGUUGCAGAUGGUAUAGCAGUGCUAGGGCGUUCCACAGUGAUGCAAACUGAUGGGGAACUGAGACAGAAACCUUUCCUCUUCCACCAAAGGGCAGUGAGAUGUGAAUACUGAAAACCAACUUCAUGUAAUCUGUGUCUACAUCUGUUGUCAAGUCCAUCCUACUCUGGAUGGAACCAGAAGAGACAGAAAACUCUGAAGUCUCACCUCCUUUCUCACAGCAGGACCUUGGAGCUGCCAGCCCAGCACACCCUCAAGUCAGCCCUUCCUUGUGGAUGAAACAGCUGCUUUGGGAAAGUCAGGCUGCGGACUUCCUUUUUCAUUGCAAAAUAGGAGUCUGAUUUAGGAAUGUUGAGUUAUAGCAGAAAUGCCACCUGCUGACUGCUAGGUCAGUCUUCAUUGAGCAUAUAAUAAUAAUAUUAUUAUUAUUGACUGAACAUUAUUAUUAUUAUUAUUAUUAUUAUUAUUAUUACAGGCUCAGGUUGUAUAUAUGCGUAAAUAAACCAUAUAUCAUAAAGACACCACAAUCUCCAAUGCACCUUAUUCCCAAAGGAAAGACGAAGCCAGGGAAACGCCUGGAACCCCUGGAACCUCCCACCACUUGGAGAUUGGGGUGGCGUGCAGAAGUAGGCUUUGCACCUACAGUUGCUGUCAAGCCAAACUUCCUCUGCCUCGAACUUGUAAGAGAAAAGAACACAUCUGAAGUCCCUCCUCCUCCUCCUGCAGAGCAGGACCCUGGACCUCAUUCCUAUCCACACCCGGAGUGCCAGGCUUCCGCAGAUUCCUAGGUCUUGUCCACAUCUCUGCUUGUCCAAUUUCUGGAAAGCACAGCUAUAAGGACUUUUACGCUUUGCCCCUGCUUUCUAGACAGGAGUCUGGCUGGUUUUGCCUUUGCCCUGCUGCUUUCCCCUGGAAAACCUGCUCUUCAACCCUAAAUCGGAAAAACCAGCAAUCUGCGAAAAAUCUGAUUGCUGUUAGGUGGCAUUCAGAAGUAAAUCUGAUUGCCAGACCUUCCAAGUGUCCCUAUUUUCCAGGGUCAGUCCAGAAUCUACAAAAGCCGUCCUGGUUUCUGAUUUGAUCCCAGAAACUCCUGCUUUUCCUCAGGACAUCCCUAUGUCCAUAGUAGAAAUGUUGGAGGGUGUGGAGUUAUUUCACCCCCAAGCCAUCUGAAGACAGCCUUGUAUAGGGUGUGGAGUUAUUCGACUCCCAAACCAUCAAAAGGCAGCCAUGUAUGGGAAAGUUUUUAAUGUUUAGUGUUUUAUUAUGCUUUUAUAUAUGUUGGAAGACAGCAAGAGUUGCAACGCAGUCAAAUGGACAGGGUAUAAAUGGUAGAAUUAUUAUUAUGGGAUAGGACUUCUCUGUUUUCAUUGGUGAAAUAUUGGAGGGUAUGUUGACAAACAUCAGCUCCACAGUCACAUUCCCCACCUGGCAACUUUCCAUGGGUCCCAUGUCACUGGUGGGUGGCGCCAGAGGCAAAGGUGCGAUGAAGGGAUAUUUUACCUCUCUACUGUAGGCUCCCUGAUCCUCAGGUCUGCCCUGAUACAGCACCGAGUAUCCAGGUUGGCCCAGCUGGGUGAGACCAACUGCACUCUGCUCUCAGAGGCUUUUCAACUGGUUUCGUCGAAUUGGGCAUUGUGCUACAGGGGGUCCCACACCAAUGCUGUGGAACGGAGCAUGAGGGGGAGGGGCAUGCGCCAAAUUUUAGCAUCGCACAGGGCGCUGCUGAAAUCUGGGAGCCCAAAGACCGCCAUUUCUGCUCUCCCACGCAGGUCUCAGGGAGCCUGUUCUUGUCACUGUUGCAGGCUGCGUGUCUGUUCAUCCCAAUCUCUGCUCCUCAUAUGCCAGAAGGUGGCAGCAGAGACUGUGCCAUUGAAAAACCGAGAAAGAAUGUUUUCUUCAAUAAGUUUAAGAAAGAACUUAAAGCUUAAUAAUUCUGUACAGUGGGGGUAGGGAAACUCUGGCCUUUCAGAAGUUGUUGGACUCCAACUCCCAUCAGCCCCGGCCAGCAAGAGCAAUAGAAGCAUGCAAAGAGCAGGCGGACCAAUCGGCCCCUUUCUGUGCAGGAGGACAUAGACUAGGCUGGCCAGAGUGCGCAGCUCGGUUUGUGCAGCCCUGACUAGUGGGUGUUCUUCCCCUCUUUUGAACUUCACAGUUAUUUGUUUCACCGAUUCAUUUCAUAAUAUUUCUACACCACUUGAUUGUAUUAAAAAAGCCUCUAAGCAAGUUACAAAAAGAUAAGAAAAGAAAAGAAAAUGAAGAAGAAUUCACAACAUUACUUUAAAAGAUAAAAAGUAAAAAUACGAAGACAGACUGAACUUUCUAAGACAUUUUAGGAAUUAUGAGCUUUAUUUGUUCCUACACAGUCAUCUGUCUAUCCAGCCCAGGUUAGGAAUGGUCCCAAGUGAGAUGUUCCACACAAUAAAAACCAACCUAUUAAAAGCAUUGUUCCCAGGACCCUUCCUGAUAGAUGUCUUGCUGCAAAGAGUUCCUUCAUGGCUGUCUCAUAAGACCGUGGCUGAACUAAGGGCCAGUCUUGCUGCUUUGAGAAAUCUCAUUUAUGCAAAAUCUGCCCAUGGGCCCUUGGACUGAAUGUCCUAUGAUGCUCUGCAGGAUUUCUAAAUCCCAAUAGAGGCAAUCGAUGAUCUAAGAAGAUAUUUGCAUGAAGGGGCAGCUCUUCAGCUCUGGGGGAUUUAAGACAGGAGUGAGGAAGUUUCCUUCAGAAGUUCAAACUCCUCUGGAGAGCUCACCAUCAUGUCUUCCUUUCUCUUUCUCCUUGCUCUUUUUGUUUACUGCUCAGGUAAAGCUGUGGAGAAGAUCUCUUGUUCCACUGGCCAACCAAAAGCUAACUGCAUUUAUCAUAUUUACUUAUUUGAGAAGACUGAAAAUGUUCCUUUUUCUCAAUUCUCUUAAAACAGGUGUCAUCUCUCAGUCAAUUUGGACUCAGCCUGCCUCUGAGUCUGUGGCGCUAGGUCAAACCAUUAAACUCUCCUGUACUACUAGUGAUACUGGCUCCUACAUUGGCUGGUAUCAACAGAGAUCAGGGCAGGCCCCUCGCUUUGUGCAGCGUGAGGGUGGCAGCAGGGGAGAAGGGAUCCCGGAUCGAUUCACGGCUUCUCGCUCUGGGAACAUUGGCUUUUUAACCAUCACCAACGUCCAGGCUGGAGAUGAGGCCGUUUAUUACUGUUGCAGAUGGUAUAGCAGUGCUAGUGCGUUCCACAGUGAUGCAAACUGAUGGGGAACUGAGACAAAAACCUUUCCUCUUCCACCAAAGGGCAGUGAGAUGUGAAUACUGAAAACCAACUUCAUGUAAUCUGUGUCUACAUCUGUUGUCAAGUCCAUCCUACUCUGGAUGGAACCAGAAGAGACAGAAAACUCUGAAGUCUCACCUCCUUCCUCACAGCAGGACCUUGGAGCUGCCAGCCCAGCACACCCUCAAGUCAGCCCUUCCUUGUGGAUGAAAGAGCUGCUUUGGGAAAGUCAGGCUGCGGACUUCCUUUUUCAUUGCAAAAUAGGAGUCUGAUUUAGGAAUGUUGAGUUAUAGCAGAAAUGCCACCUGCUGACUGCUAGGUCAGUCUUCAGUGAGCAUAUUAUAAUUAGAUUAUUAUUAUUUAGUGAAUAUUAUUAUUAUUAUUAUUAUUAUUAUUAUUAUUAUUACAGGCUCAGGUUGUAUAUAUGCGUAAAUAAACCAUAUAUCAUAAAGACACCACAAUCUCCAAUGCGUCUUAUUCCCAAAGGAAAGACGAACCAAGGGAAACGCCUGGAACCCCUGGAACCUCCCACCACUUGGAGAUUGGGGUGGCGUGCAGAAGUAGGCUUUGCACCUGCAGUUGCUGUCAAGCCAAACUUCCUCUGCCUCGAACUUGUAAGAGAAAAGAACACAUCUGAAGUCCCUCCUCCUCCUCCUGCAGAGCAGGACCCUGGACCUCAUUCCUAUCCACACCCGGAGUGCCAGGCUUCCGCAGAUUCCUAGGUCUUGUCCACAUCUCUGCUUAUCCCAUUCCUGGAAACCACAAAUAUAAGCUGUUUUAUGCUUUGCUCCUGCUUUCUAGACAGGAGUCUGGCUGGUUUUGCCUUUGCCCUGCUGCUUUCCCCUGGAAAACCUGCUCUUCAACCCUAAAUCAGAAAAACCAGCAAUCUGCGAAAAAUCUGAUUGCUGUUAGGUGCCAUUCAGAAGUAAAUCUGAUUGCCAGACCUUCCAAGUGUCCCUAUUUUCCAGGGUCAGUCCAGAAUCUACAAAAGCCGUCCUGGUUUCUGAUUUGAUCCCAGAAAGUCCCACUUUUCCUUAGAUCGUCCCAAUUUCAAUCUGAGAAAUGUUGGCGGGUAUGGAGUUAUUGAACCCAGAAACCAUUUGAAGACAGCCCUGUAGAGCCAUGUUUUUAAUGUUUAAUGUUUUAUUAUGCUUUUAUAUAUCUUGGAUGCCACCCAGAGUGGCACCCCAGUCAGAUGGGCAGGGUAUAAAGAGUUAAAUUAUAGGAUAGGAGGUCCCGAUUUUCAUUGGAGAAAUGUUGGUGUGUACGUUGACAGGCAUCUGCCCGAGAGUCAUAUUUUCCCACCUGGUAACUUUCCAUGGGUCCCAUGUCACAGGUGGGUGGGGCCAGAGGCAAAGUUGCCAUGAAUGGAUAUUUUACCUCUCUACUGUAGUCUAGUCCCCCCAACACUCACUAUCCCCCAUCCAUGAAAUGAGAGGCAUCAGCGGAAUGCUAGGGCCCAUCCUUGCCAGGCAGAAACCCUUGGGGUGCAAGCAGAGCCAGUGGAAGGUGUGGCUAGAGGAGAGUGGGUGUGGCCUAGAGCAGUGGCACAGUGUGUGGGGGGGAAUGGGGUGGUUGCCCCAGAUACAAAAUUGUAAGGGGCACAAAAAUUUGCACACUUGGUGCUACCUCAAUACAACUGCACACUUCCGUAAUGUGCUCCCUUGAAAAAAGGUUCUCCAUGUGAAGUUGACCUCUCCAAACAAUGGAGCGACUCUUAUUUUCUUGUCUCUUUGACUGCAAUGUCCUGGGUGAUGCGGAGGCUGUUAGGCAGUUGAAUGUACAUGCGUACUUUAUCCGUUUCCCUUCCACCCCCUCUGCACUUGGCCCCGGGCGCUGCAACCCACGCUACACCACUGGCCUAGAGGGCCAGACAGAGACACAUUGCUCUUUCAGCUUGAGGUUCCUCACCUUGUUGCAGAUUGAUGAGCUGCUUCCACAAGUGACUAAUGCUGACAGGUGCUGUCGAUGGCUUCUGGCUAAUUGCCCAGGAAAUCAGAGAGGCAGACAAAGAGCCAGCUUUCCAGUGACGUCCUUUGCGAUGUAAAGAUUAGGCACUCUCCCUGCUUCUCGUCUUCCAUUGUUUUUCCUCAGGCACCUCAGGAGCUCUAGGUCCACUCUCCCCUCAACUGGGCAGAGAGUCAGGGGAGAGGGAGAGGGAGCGGGAGAGGGAGAGGGAGAGGGAGGGGGGAAAAUCUCUAAAGGCUACUCGAUCUUCUGCACCCUGACCCUCAAGUCUGCCUUGAUAAUGUACCGAGUACCCAGAUGGGAUCAGCUGGGUGAGACCAAAUCCACUCUGCUCUCAGAGGUGCUUCAACUGGUUUGGCCUAAUUGGGCACCGUGCCAUAGGAGGUGCCACACCAAUGCUGUAGAACGAUGGAUGAGAGGUGGGGGCAUGUGCUAAAUUUUAGCAUCGCACAAGGCGCUGCUGAAAUCUGAGAGCCCAAAGUACGCCACUUAUGUUGUCCCAAUCAGGUCUCAGUGAUACCGUUCUUGUCACUGUUGCAGGCUGCGUGUCUUUUCAUCACAAUCUCUGCUCCUCACAUGUCAGAAAGUGGCAGCAGAGACUGUGCCUUUUGAAAUACCGAGAAUGAAUGUUUUCUUCACCAAGUUUAUGCAACAAUUCAAAGCUCAAUAGUUUUGUACAGCGGAGGUAUGGAAACCCUGGCCUUUCCGAAGUUGUGGGGCUCCAACUCCCAUCAGCCCCAGCCAGCAAGAGCAAUAGAAGGAUGCAAAGAGCAGGCGGACCAAUUGGCCCCUUUCUGUGCAGGAGGACAUAGACUAGGUUGUCCAGGUUAGAAAAAGAUAAGAAUACAAGAAAAAUUCACAACCUUACAUUAAACUAUAAAAAGUUAAGAUACAAAGAAAGUCUGAAUUUUCUAAGGCGUUUUAAGAAUUAGGAGUUUUUUUCAUUCCUACACAGUGCUCUAUCUAUAAAGCCCAGGUUAGGAAUGUUCCCAAGUGAUGUUCCACACUAUAAAAAGCAGUGUUCCCAGAACCCUUCCUGAUAGACGUCUUACAGCAAAGAGUUCCUUCAUGACUGUCUCAUCACAUCCAGUCCUGCUGCUUUGAGAAAGCUCAUCUAUGCAAAUCUGCCCUUGGGCCCUUGGACUGAACGUCCCAUAAUGCUCUGCAGGAUCUGCAAAUCCCAAUAGAGGCAAUCGAUGAUCGCGGAAGAUAUUUGCAUGAAGGGGCAGCUCUUCAGCUCUGGGGGAUUUAAGAGAGGAGUGAGGAAGUUUCCUUCAGAUGUUGAAACUCCCCUGCAGAUCUCACCAUCAUGUCUUCCUUUCUCUUUCUCUUUGCUCUUUUUAUUUACUGCUCAGGUAAAGCUGUGGAGAAGAUCUCAUGUUCUAUUGGCCAACCAAAAGCUAACUGCAUUUAUCAUUUUUAUUUAUUUGAGAGCACUAAAAAUGUUCCCCUUUCUCCAUAUUUUUUUAAACAGGAGUCACCUGCCAGUCAGUUUGCACUCAGCCUGCCUCUGAGUCUGUGUCGCCGGGUCAAACCAUUAAACUCUCCUGUACUACUAGUGAUACUGGCUCCUACAUUGGCUGGUAUCAACAGAGAUCAGGGCAGGCCCCACGCUUUGUGCACUGUGAAACUUGCAGCAGGGGAGAAGGGAUCCCGGAUCGAUUCACCGCUUCUCGCUCUGGGAACAUUGGCUAUUUAACCAUCACCAACAUCCAGGUUGAAGACGAGGCUGUUUAUUACUGUGGCAGAUGGUACAGUGGCAAGUUC